AGUUGGUGAGGUAAUGGCUUACCAAGGCUUCGAUGGGUAGCUGGUCUGAGAGGAUGAUCAGCCACACUGGGACUGAGACACGGCCCAGACUCCUACGGGAGGCAGCAGUAGGGAAUAUUGCACAAUGGAGGAAACUCUGAUGCAGCGACACAGCGUGAGUGAUGAAGGCCUUCGGGUUGUAAAGCUCUGUUCUCAGGGAAAAAGAAAGUGAUUGUACCUGAGGAGAAAGGACCGGCUAACUUCGUGCCAGCAGCCGCGGUAAGACGAGGGGUCCUAGCGUUGCUCGGAAUUAUUGGGCGUAAAGCGGGUGUAGGUGGCUUUGUAAGUCAGAAGUGAAAGCCCCGGGCUCAACCCGGGAAGUGCUUUUGAUACUGCUUAGCUUGAGUGUGGGAGAGGAUAGUAGAAUUCCUGGUGUAGUGGUGAAAUACGUAGAUAUCAGGAGGAAUACCGGUGGCGAAGGCGGCUAUCUGGCCCAACACUGACACUCAGACCCGAAAGCGUGGGGAUCAAACAGGAUUAGAUACCCUGGUAGUCCACGCCGUAAACGAUGGAUACUUGUUGUUGGUGGUAUUGACCCCAUCAGUGACGAAGCAAACGCGUUAAGUAUCCCGCCUGGGAAGUACGGCCGCAAGGUUAAAACUCAAAGAAAUUGACGGGGGCCCGCACAAGCGGUGGAGCAUGUGGUUUAAUUCGAUACCACGCGAGGAACCUUACCUAGGUUUGACAUCUGGUGGAAGGGUCACAGAAAUGUGCCCGCCUUCGGGCCGCCAGACAGGUGCUGCAUGGCUGUCGUCAGCUCGUGUCGUGAGAUGUUGGGUUAAGUCCCGCAACGAGCGCAACCCUUGUGUUUAGUUGCCAGCAUUCAGUUGGGCACUCUAAACAGACUGCCGACGUUAAGUCGGAGGAAGGUGGGGAUGACGUCAAGUCCUCAUGGCCUUUAUAUCUAGGGCUACACACGUGCUACAAUGGUCGGUACAAAGGGCUGCCAAGUCGCAAGACGGAGCCAAUCCCAUAAAGCCGAUCUAAGUUCAGAUUGAGGUCUGCAACUCGACCUCAUGAAGGUGGAAUCGCUAGUAAUCGCGGAUCAGAACGCCGCGGUGAAUACGUUCCCGGGCCUUGUACACACCGCCCGUCACACCAUGAAAGUUGGUUUUACCAGAAGUCACUGUGCUAACCGUAAGGAGGCAGGUGCCCAAGGUAUGGCCGAUGAUUGGGGUGAAGUCGUAACAAGGUAGCCGUAGGGGAACCUGCGGCUG
RNAcentral lists this ribosomal RNA (1256 nucleotides) under metagenome. Its description in RNAcentral is "bacterial SSU rRNA". It matches the Rfam family "Bacterial small subunit ribosomal RNA", at positions 247 to 1520 of the family's 1533-position model. The record is from RNAcentral.